This 465-nucleotide ribosomal RNA is filed under the name uncultured bacterium. Its description in RNAcentral is "partial 16S ribosomal RNA". It matches the Rfam family "Bacterial small subunit ribosomal RNA", at positions 28 to 507 of the family's 1533-position model. The record is from RNAcentral.
GAUGAACGCUGGCGGCGUGCUUAACACAUGCAAGUCGAACGGAAAGGCUCCUGCUUGCAGGGGUACUCGAGUGGCGAACGGGUGAGUAACACGUGGGUGAUCUGCCCUGCACUUCGGGAUAAGCCUGGGAAACUGGGUCUAAUACCGGAUAGGACCACAUUUUGGAUGGUGUGGUGGAAAGUUUUUCGGUGUGGGAUGAGCUCGCGGCCUAUCAGCUUGUUGGUGGGGUAAUGGCCUACCAAGGCGUCGCCGGGUAGCCGGCCUGAGAGGGUGUACGGCCACAUUGGGACUGAGAUACGGCCCAGACUCCUACGGGAGGCAGCAGUGGGGAAUAUUGCACAAUGGGCGCAAGCCUGAUGCAGCGACGCCGCGUGGGGGAUGACGGCCUUCGGGUUGUAAACUCCUUUCGCUAGGGACGAAGCGCAAGUGACGGUACCUGGAGAAGAAGCACCGGCUAACUACGUG